CGGUACGCGCGGAUCUUCCAGAGAUUAGAGUUUGAUCCUGGCUCAGAUUGAACGCUGGCGGCAGGCCUAACACAUGCAAGUCGAACGGUAACAGGAAGCAGCUUGCUGCUUCGCUGACGAGUGGCGGACGGGUGAGUAAUGUCUGGGAAACUGCCUGAUGGAGGGGGAUAACUACUGGAAACGGUAGCUAAUAUCGCAUAACGUCGCAAGACCAAAGAGGGGGACCUUAGGGCCUCUUGCCAUCGGAUGUGCCCAGAUGGGAUUAGCUAGUAGGUGGGGUAACGGCUCACCUAGGCGACGAUCCCUAGCUGGUCUGAGAGGAUGACCAGCCACACUGGAACUGAGACACGGUCCAGACUCCUACGGGAGGCAGCAGUGGGGAAUAUUGCACAAUGGGCGCAAGCCUGAUGCAGCCAUGCCGCGUGUAUGAAGAAGGCCUUCGGGUUGUAAAGUACUUUCAGCGGGGAGGAAGGGAGUAAAGUUAAUACCUUUGCUCAUUGACGUUACCCGCAGAAGAAGCACCGGCUAACUCCGUGCCAGCAGCCGCGGUAAUACGGAGGGUGCAAGCGUUAAUCGGAAUUACUGGGCGUAAAGCGCACG
Molecule: ribosomal RNA, 600 nt
Filed under: uncultured bacterium
Lineage: Bacteria
Description: bacterial SSU rRNA
Rfam family: Bacterial small subunit ribosomal RNA
Source: RNAcentral